This 253-nucleotide ribosomal RNA is filed under the name uncultured bacterium. Its description in RNAcentral is "partial 16S ribosomal RNA". It matches the Rfam family "Bacterial small subunit ribosomal RNA", at positions 524 to 776 of the family's 1533-position model. The record is from RNAcentral.
UACGAGUGCUCCAAGCGUUAUCCGGAAUCAUUGGGCGUAAAGGGUGUGUAGGUGGUUGUGUUAGUCUUCUGUUAAAUUCUUCGGCUUAACCGGGGGCAUGCAGGGGAAACGGCACAACUAGAGGAUGCGAGAGGUAUAUGGAACUCAUGGAGUAGGGGUGAAAUCCGUUGAUAUCAUGGGGAACACCAAAUGCGAAGGCAAUAUACUGGCGCACUCCUGACACUGAAACACGAAAGCGUAGGUAGCGAAUGGG